RNAcentral lists this ribosomal RNA (484 nucleotides) under uncultured bacterium. RNAcentral's name for it is "partial 16S ribosomal RNA". It matches the Rfam family "Bacterial small subunit ribosomal RNA", at positions 29 to 507 of the family's 1533-position model. The record is from RNAcentral.
AUUGAACGCUGGCGGCAUGCUUUACACAUGCAAGUCGAACGGCAGCGCGGGCUUCGGCCUGGCGGCGAGUGGCGAACGGGUGAGUAAUGCAUCGGAACGUGCCCAGUAGUGGGGGAUAGCCCGGCGAAAGCCGGAUUAAUACCGCAUACGACCGGAGGGUGAAAGCGGGGGACCGAAAGGCCUCGCGCUAUUGGAGCGGCCGAUGUCGGAUUAGCUAGUUGGUGGGGUAAAGGCUUACCAAGGCGACGAUCCGUAGCUGGUCUGAGAGGACGACCAGCCACACUGGGACUGAGACACGGACCAGACUCCUACGGGAGGCAGCAGUGGGGAAUUUUGGACAAAGGGGGCAACCCUGAUCCAGCCAUGCCGCGUGCGGGAAGAAGGCCUUCGGGUUGUAAACCGCUUUUGUUCGGGAAGAAAUCCUCUGGGCUAAUACCCCGGGGGGAUGACGGUACCGGAAGAAUAAGCACCGGCUAACUACGUG